This 1003-nucleotide long non-coding RNA is filed under the name Triticum aestivum (bread wheat). RNAcentral's name for it is "long non-coding RNA (TAES_LNC002729)". The record is from RNAcentral. Lineage: Eukaryota; Viridiplantae; Streptophyta; Magnoliopsida; Poales; Poaceae.
UAUUUCUCGGGCCAUGAUAGAUGCACCCCCAUGUGUACAUUGACAUAGCACUUGGACGUGUGAUGUUGAAAAACUCAAUGCUUAUUUAGUCAACUAGAUGCUGAGGCAAUUCAGAAUAUCUCGAUAUGCACUAUAUGGCAAGAACAUUUCUAGGCUUGACAAAUGGCAUGCCAGGUCUGCGUGUGUCGGAGUAUGGUUAGGAUGCCUUGCGAUAUACACCCAAUCAUUUUCUUCCAUAUCCGAUAUGCAUCCAACAAAAAGAAGAUGGAAAAGAGCAUAAUGAUCUAGAUCAGCCCACAAAAGACCACGUCUCGGUAACACACUCUAUCACACCCAUGUUUCAGAUCACCAACACCCUCAUGGGUUUCAACAUCACAAUACACAUCUCAUGGCUACAAUUUAGAUAAGGUUUCCCACACUCCAGCUUAACUUGAGACGACUUCAACAGUUGCAACAGUGGUAAGUGAUAAAGAAUUCAACAACCAUGAUGCCAUUGACGAGUUAGCAGUACUCUGUCCCUUGACCCGCACUUGUCUUAUCCAAUGGCUCUAUUGGUUACCGCUCGACAAAGUUCUCAUGUUUUUUUUCUUCAACAUCAACAAUGCUCUCCUUCACCAACUUAAGUAAUUAUUGGCACCCUCCAACUUGAUAUCAAUGGGCAUCAACUAUAAUAUCUAUACGGGCUUGAUACAAAGGGAUGGCUUCAUUGCUUGAAGAUGGUGCAUCACCUGAAUUUGUAGCAGAGAAGUUAAACCAUGUCCAGAGCUUGUUGAGUCAUCAACCCUCCCCCAUGGUUUAGUAUACCAGUAAUGCACUUCUCAAGCAAGAGACGAAGCAAAACUGCUCCCUACUACGCUCAACAACAUUUGUUUUCUUCAAAUGGAAACAAUGAAUCCGGGUUGGAAUACCUUUGCCUAUGCAUAUUCUCGAGUAGCAACACCCACGAACGAACUCUGCGUGUUGUUGGAACAAUGCGUUGCCUUCCUCUUCACCGACUGACAAG